AAGCUCGUAGUUGAAUUUCGGGAUCGACGGGUCGGUCGCGCCUCUGGUGUGUACUGGCCCUGUCGGUUUCUCCCUUCUGACGAACCACGAUGUCAUUAAUUUGGUGUCGUGGGAAAUCAGGACUGUUACUUUGAAGAAAUUAGAGUGUUUAAAGCAGGCAUUCGCUUGAAUACAUUAGCAUGGAAUAAUGAAAUAGGACGUUUGAUCUUAUUUUGCUGGUUUCUAAGAUCGACGUAAUGAUUAAUAGGGAUAGUUGGGGGCAUUAGUAUUCAAUUGUCAGAGGUGAAAUUCUUGGAUUUAUUGAAGACUAACUACUGCGAAAGCAUUUGCCAAGGAUGUUUUCAUUAAUCAAGAACGAAAGUUAGGGGAUCGAAGACGAUCAGAUACCGUCGUAGUCUUAACCAUAAACUAUGCCGACUAGGGAUCGGAUGAUGCUUAUUUUUUAAUGACUCAUUCGGCACCUUACGGGAAACCAAAGUGUUUGGGUUCCGGGGGGAGUAUGGUCGCAAGGCUGAAACUUAAAGGAAUUGACGGAAGGGCACCACCAGGGGUGGAGCCUGCGGCUUAAUUUGACUCAACACGGGGAAA
Molecule: ribosomal RNA, 588 nt
Filed under: uncultured Glomus
Lineage: Eukaryota; Fungi; Glomeromycota; Glomeromycetes; Glomerales; Glomeraceae
Description: SSU rRNA
Rfam family: Eukaryotic small subunit ribosomal RNA
Source: RNAcentral